Saccostrea cuccullata (small rock oyster) is the source of this 820-nucleotide long non-coding RNA. RefSeq lists it as uncharacterized. The transcript has 4 exons. The record is from RefSeq and is a predicted model, not a curated record. NCBI's taxonomy places the organism in Eukaryota, Metazoa, Mollusca, Bivalvia, Ostreida, Ostreidae.
AAAAGGAAGUUAUGUCGGCCAUUUUGUCUCCUGUGUUUGUUAAGAACAAAAAAAGACAUUGACGGACGGAUUAUUGCCUUUCCAUAAUGGCACUAUCAUUUUUUCCAAGAAGAAUUUUGUUAUUUGGAUUCGUAUCAGAGAAAAAAUUGUUCAUGUCAGUUCAGCGUUUAAUUACUACCAGCUGCAGUAUUCAAUCAUUUUAAGAAUUAUAACAAUGACUUCGUCACAAAUCACAAGACAGUUUCACCAGCGCAGAUGACCUAAAUUUUAGUAUUGAACGUUACAAGUUUUGGAUUUUAGUGCAUGAUCAAUAUGUGUCCAAGAACAUAUUUAACUCAACGACAGCUGGAAUUAAGUGUCUGUCUGUUCAUGUGCUUGAUUUUAAUUGUUGUGUCGUCACCUGACGUCAGCGUUUUAAAUAUAACCAGACACAGACAAAUCAAUAAUCGACCAAAAAGGGUUUCAACACAGUAGCGAUUCCCUGUCAAUGAGGUGGACUCUUGUCCUACAACUAAUGUCACGUGGUAUGAAGCUGGUGCCAGAUUAAACUGUUCUCAUGACUUCUUCAACAGACUUCAGUACCUCUGUAUUCCCAAUCAGGAAAAGACAACUCUACUGGAAUUUUGUUAUGACAAGAUUAUGGGUCUUUACGAAAAAGGACACUGCCUACAUUUAUCAACAUCUGGGUUCGUGGACCAAGAGGAUUGUGACUUUUUUAUUGAGGGAUGUCCAAAGACACCUUAUUACAGCAGCACCAUUUUUCAAUUUUUGAAAUGCUUGGAAAUAAACAGAGACCUGAGAUGCUUUUCGGCUGAUCUGG